This 498-nucleotide ribosomal RNA is filed under the name uncultured bacterium. RNAcentral's name for it is "partial 16S ribosomal RNA". It matches the Rfam family "Bacterial small subunit ribosomal RNA", at positions 28 to 506 of the family's 1533-position model. The record is from RNAcentral.
GAUGAACGCUGGCGGCGUGCCUAAUACAUGCAAGUCGAGCGAACAGACGAGAGUGCUUGCACUCUCUGACGUUAGCGGCGGACGGGUGAGUAACACGUGGGUAACCUACCUAUAAGACUGGGAUAACUUCGGGAAACCGGAGCUAAUACCGGAUAAUAUUUAGCUUCGCAUGAAGCAAUAGUGAAAGACGGUUCUGCUGUCACUUAUAGAUGGACCCGCGGUGUAUUAGCUGGUUGGUGAGGUAACGGCUCACCAAGGCAACGAUACAUAGCCGACCUGAGAGGGUGAUCGGCCACACUGGGACUGAGACACGGCCCAGACUCCUACGGGAGGCAGCAGUAGGGAAUCUUCCGCAAUGGACGAAAGUCUGACGGAGCAAUGCCGCGUGAGUGAAGAAGGUUUUCGGAUCGUAAAACUCUGUUGUAAGGGAAGAACAAGUACGUUAGUAACUGAACGUACCUGGACGGUACCUUACCAGAAAGCCACGGCUAACUACGU